CUCCGCCCUCAGCCCUCACCUGCCCACACCCUCGGCUCCACGCCUGGCACCUCCCGCUGUCCCUCAGGCCCCUUUGUGGGGCCGGGAUUCUGGGACCGGGCCAGGCUGGGUGGGCGGUGACAGAGGGGUGGGGAUGCAGGGCCCAAGGAGGGCUGAGGACUCGGGGAGCUGUCUCUUCUCACUGUUGCUGGGGAGAGGAGAAGGCGGGAGGCUGCGUGGCUGUCACCCACACUGUCCCUCCCUCUCUGCACCUCGGUCUGGCUGUCCCUCGCUCCCUGCUUCUGUCUGCCUUUCUGGACUCAGACAAAGACCUAAGUUGCCAGCCUGGUUGGUUCCCCCACUAACUGGCCGGGCAGCCUUGGUGGGGAAUGUCCUCUCUCCUGGCCUCAGUUGUCCCUUCCGCACAGUGGGCACAAGGUCUUCACCACCUGGACAGGACGAGGUGGGAGCAGGGGAGGCCCGGCCAGCUCCUUCUCUCUGCCCCAUGGUCCCGGGCCCUGGGCAGGGUGGUGGUGGGCACUGGGGCCUGUGGGGUCCCCAUCCCUGACUGAGCCUGUCCCCUGUCCUCUCUCGCAGCCUCCCAGCAUCCACGCAGAGCAUGAACAUUGAGGAUGGCGCGGGCCCACUCCCCGUGCCCCCCCACUGCCGCCCUGGUAGGAUGUCCUGGCCCCACGGGGUGCUGCUCUUCCUGUGGCUCUUCUCCCCACCCCUGGGGGCCGGCGGGGGCAGCGUGGCCCGGCGCAGCGGCCGCAGGAGGGGGCUCCCCACCGGCCACCUCCCUGCCCAGCCGCCUGCUCCUGCAGCAACCAGGCCAGCCGGGUCAUCUGCACUCGGGAGAGAGCUGGCCGAGGUCCCUGCCAGCAUCCCCGUCAACACGCGGUACCUGAACCUGCAGGAGAACGGCAUCCAGGCACCCUGAUCUGGUGGUAGAAGUGGCCCAUCCCAAAAUAAUCCAGGAAUCUGGGGCACACAUCCUGCGCCAUGCCAACCUCCUGGUGGGGUCCCCAUCAGCCCUGGCUGACCAGACCACACAGCAGCAGCUCCUUGCCGCCUCCCACCACUGGGGCCACGCCAUGUUUGUGGCUCGAGGAGCACUGUGGGGGACUGAGGACAUCUCGAGAUUGGAUGCAGCCGGAGGCCUCCAGAGCCUUUGAGUCACCAUGGCCACACACCCAGAUGGCUUCCGGCUAGAGGGACCCCUAGCUACCACUCACAGCACUGGGCCUCGCACUGUGCUCUGCGAAGGCCCUGUCCGUGGGCUCUGCCCCUUUGCUCCCGAAACUCCAACACCAUGGCAGCUGCUGCCUGGCUGCCCCCAGCCUAGGCUUUGACAACGUGAUCGGGGUGCUUGUGGCGGAUCUCAG
Molecule: long non-coding RNA, 1364 nt
Filed under: Heterocephalus glaber (naked mole-rat)
Lineage: Eukaryota; Metazoa; Chordata; Mammalia; Rodentia; Bathyergidae
Description: lncRNA (ENSHGLG00000037609.1)
Source: RNAcentral